CAGGUGCCCCUUGGAAACUCCAUGGGGCCAUUCUACUCUGACCUAUAGGGUUGCUAUGAGUCAGAAUCGACUUGAUAGCAAUAGGUUUGGUUUUUGGUUUGGUGCUAUCUACGCUGGGCGCAGGGGAACCAGGUGAGGCUGGCUCAGACCUUUUAUAUACAUACUCUCAGGUCUUGCCACCUCUCUAGACUUCACACUGGAAAUGAGUCACUGCUCUACUCUCCUCCCCAGAUCAUACAACUCGUUGGGUAUUUGUCACCCCACUCCCACCUCAGGGCAGAUGCAAGGCCCUUUUCAUGGGUACUCACCACAUCUAAGCUCUCACUACUUCCUCUCUCACUAUGCCCCUUGGGGGCCCCAUAUCCACCAGACAGGAAAACUUUUUUCUGGUUCUGGGGGCAGGAAGUUUAGCUUUACCUCAACAGAUAUUUCCACCAGCAGAUUGUAUCUGCCUCAGUCUUUUCCAUCAUUCCCCUAAAAAAAAAAAGUUGCCAUAGAGUAGACCCCAACUCAUGGUGACCCCAUGUGUAUUUUAAAUGGCUGUGAUCUUUUGGAAUUAGAUCACCAGGCCUUUCUCCUGAGGCACCUCUGAACGGACUUUAACCUCCAACCUUUCAGUUAGCAGACAAGUUCAUUACCUGUUUUGACCCCCUCAGGGACUCCUCUAUUCCCUUAUGUUGCCUAAAUCUUUUGAGACUAAAAACCUAAGAUUGUCUCCUUCUCCUUCUCUCUUUCCUCUUCCUUCUCCUUCUUUUUUCCUACUUUCUGCCAAGAAUCGUUUCACUGAGGCAAUAAAUGCAAAAUGGAUAGUUGAGUGCAUGGAUAAGUCUGGGUGGAAAAGAAAAUACGGCUGAGAAAAUAUAUCAGUGUUUCAAAACCUUAUCCUGCCAUAUUUAGUUACUGUUAUAACUGGUGAAAUUCCACCAAACAGACCAUGUGGCUUCGCAAAGGAUCCUUCAGUAGCCAAACGGGUUCUUACGAGGUCUGGCCCAUAAAGAAGCUAGAAUGGGCAAAUCUACCCAUCUCUUCCUCUUUCUGCUGUGGGCUGCCCAAGUGCCCAACUACUGGCCAGUCUGUGGCCUCCGGAGUUCAGACAACUGACUACUCAUCAGGAACACCAACCAUCUAAGAUCAAUGUUCUAGAUUGCUGCUUUUCAUAUUUUUAUCUUGUUAAAAAUACCACAAUGACUCGAUCCUUUCCAGUUCUUCAUUAGAUAGCCCUAUGAUUGUACACACAGUAGUGCCAUACAGUCGGGCCCAAAUAAGAGGCAAAUUUAUUAAAAAUUGUUAAAUCUCUUAUUUUGUAGAGUUGGCAAGGUUUUAGCUCAGGUCAUCCACAGUUACCUCUUCUCCUGUUUCAUCAAGAGAAGUGAAAGUUUGAUUGUUUUCGUUUUUGAAGAGCAAAAUACACAUGCUGUUUAAUAUGGACUAGAAAAUUUCCUUCUUCUAAAAGCAGAAGUAUAAUCUAUUUAGGUAAAAUAAGACAUUGUGAAAGUCAUGAAAUAUCCAUGUAUUGAAACCACAGAUAAGCGGAUGUGCAAAACCAAGCAAAAAUGAGAAUUUUGGAUUAGAGUCACAAGUCUGCUGGAACCAUGACUUUCAUCUUGGUGUUAUUUUAAAGGUUUAAGGGUUUUAUUACUCAUUUUUAACAUUGUACUUGAAUUUUUUUUCAGUAAAAAAAAAAUCAAGUAUUCUGAACUUCUAAUUUACCGUAUGCUACACUGUUUUGCAAACUGUCAUUUCAUAAAUACCGUGUAUUACUUUUAUUAGUCUCAAUGAAAUUUCUCCAAAGGAAGUCUAGACAACUUUUACAUCCUGACACAUCAUUAUUAACCCCACUAUUUAAAGAUUAAAAGUCUUGGUUAUGUUGCAAAAUUAUCUUUUCUAUCUCUGAAUAGGAAAAAAAAUCAUGAACAGCAACCCUUAAUAUCCUUUUGCAAAAACAGGCACAGGUUUCCCUGGAUGCAGUUUUUAAAAUUGAAUUAAAGUUUUCAUCCAAAAUCAAUUCCUUCCUUAUAAAAUAAUAUUAUUACCUUCAUUUCUGAUGAAAGUUCAAGAGGGCAAGAUUCAAAAGCAGUGUUGCUGACUUUUUUUCAUAUCUCAAGAGUAGAAAGUUCUAGGAGCUAAUUUCACUUCAUACUAAACCACUGAUAAAUUUGGCAGUAACUUGCAUAAAGUACUAUGUGAGUUUUCCUAACAGUCUACAUAUUUUUCAAACAAAUUUUCACAUUUCACAAAAUUAUUUACUUGGUUGGCCAGUUAGUUGAACUGGUUUUAGCAAUCUCUGUCUUCUAUUCCAAGCUGAGAAUCUAAGAGAAAAUGGUUCUCCAGCCAAAUCCUAUACAUGUAAUCUCAUUGUUGUUAUUGUCGUUAGGUGCCAUGGAGUCAGUUCCAACUCAUAGCGACCCUGUGUACAACAGAGCAAAACACUGCUCUGUCCUGCGCCGUCCUCCUAAUCGUUAUUAUGCUCGAGCUCAUUGUUGCAGCCACUGUGUCAACCCCUUCUCACUGAGGGUCUUCCUCUUUUUCACUGGCCCUCUACUUUACCAAGAUGUCCUUCUCCAGAGACUGGCCCCUCCUGAUAACAUGUCCAAAGUAUCUGAGAUGAAGUCUCACCUUCCUUGCUUCUAAUGAGCAUUCUGACUGUACUUCUUCCAAGACAGAUUUGUUUGUUCUUCUGGCAGGCCAUGGUAUAGUCAAUAUUCUUCACCAACACCAUAAUUCAAAGGCAUCAAUUCUUCUUCAGUCCUCCUUAUUCGCUGUCCAGCUUUUGCAUGCAUAUGAGGCGACUGAAAACAUCAUGGCUUGGGUCAGGGGCAUCUCAGUCCUUAAAGUGACAUCUUUGCUUUUUAACACUUUAAAGAGUGUUAAACACUUUAAACAGCGUUGUACCACACUAUGACAAACUGAAAAAAAAAAAAAAAUUUUUUUUUGCAUGUGGUAUAUUCCAUUAAAAACUCUUAAAAACUAAAUAAAUAAAUAAAAGACUUUACAAAGUCCCAAAGUUUACUCACUUAGCUCCAUCCAUCAUUGCCACGAAAUUACGCAACACCCACCAACCCUCCUAAAAACGCUUCUGCACAUUCUCUGUCUACUGUUUUGCUCCCAGAGAUGUAGUCUCCCUCAGUGUGUCUACAGUAUUCUCUCCUAUUUCAAACAUUCGAACAACUGAUUCGACCUCCUUUGUCCCUCUCUCAGAGUGUGUAUCCAUUUUUGCCACUGUACCGUGAUUAUUUUUGAACAUGUCUUUCUUCUUCACUAGAUGAUAAACUCCUUAAGGGCAACACACAGGCCCCUAGGGGGCACAACCCGUUUGUUCUUAGCUGCUAACUGAAAGCUUGGUGGUUCAGAUCCAUCCAGUGAUGCUCCAAAAGGAAGCCCUGGUGAUCUGCUUCCACAGAUGACAGCCAAGAAAACCCUACGGGGCACAGCUCUAUUCUGAACUACAUGGAGUUGCCACAAGUCAGAGCCAACGCUGUGGCAAGGAAUUUGGUUUUUGGUUUAUUCACCUCCCAACGCAGAGCUUUAAGAAUAUAGCACAUGUAUGUGUUGACAGAAUGAAUGAGUUAAUGAAUGAAUAAAAUUCUAGUAGAUAUUCUAUCAAGUAAAGCAUAUAUAAUCUCAUUAUAUAAUUGUGAUUAAGACGCAAAGAGAAAAGCAAGUUAUAAAAACAAUUCUACAAUAAAUAAUAAAUGAAAUCAUCUUUUAAAGUAUGCCACUUCUUUUGUUCAAACUGGGACAACCUACCUCUGUCUCGUUAAGAGGCUGCUUCCUCAUUGGUUUAUGAUGAAAUACGAGCGCAAUUUCCCGUCGCCUCAACAGCGUUGGUUUCUCUUCUUGAGACAGAGAGAUUUGUCAGCUCCUCGGUCAACAAAACCAUCCUCCCAAGAAACACAGGAGCUCCUUAUUGGAUGAACCACUAGGAAGCCAGAGGCAGGAAGCCCAUUGUGAUGGUUAAGAUUGUGUGUCAACUUGGCUAGGCCAUGAUUCUUAUUGUUUUGGCAGUUGUAUAAAGUUACGAUCACUGCCCUGUCGAAAUUUGAUGUGAUCACCCCCAUGAUGGAAUCUGCUGAGUGGUACCGGCAGGGAUGGGGCCUGUGGCGACUCACUGCCACCUCAGCCUUCAUCUCUCUGCCUUCCAUCACCUACUUCCUUCCUGCUCACUUUGCAAACGUUGUCGGCUUGUCCUGGAUCCAGUAGCUGUCUCUUGUCUGACCUCUGGCUCUUAGGACUUGAGCUAGCAACUUACCUGUCCAUCUUGGGAUUUGCCAAUCUUCAUGGUCUGCAAGCAAGAGUCCUGCUACCCAACCUGCCUAUCUUUGGUUCACCAGCCCCUGCAGCUAAGUGACUCAGGAGAAACCUUGCGGCCUUGCCUGCCGACCUUGGGGAUUUCUUGACCAUCACAACCUGUGAGCAGGAUCCCUGCUCUCCAACCUACUCAUCUUGGCUUCACCAGCUUCUGCGGCUCCGUGAAUUGGGAAAAGACUCCAUCCUGAUUCAAGAACUUGGGAUGUUUCAACCCUUACAAUCGCGUGAGCAGUUCCUUUAAUAUAAAUCUAUAUAUAUUUAUACGCAUUACUAGAGAACCCAGCCUAAGACACCCAUUGACGCAGUUCAUGAGGUCAGCUCCCAGAGCACAAAGUUGGAUGGAGAAGGAUGAAGAGUGGGUUCCGAGGAGCAAACAGGUACUCAUUUUCCCAGUUACACUUGCACUCCAUUCAUGUGUCAAAUCAGGGAAAUAUCUGUGAGAUGCCUGAGUAUGUGGCUGUUAUCUAUAGUCACAGACUGGAGCAUUGAUUGCUAAACACUUAUGUUUAAAAUGGCCUUGUAGACACUGAAAUUUUUGGGAUUGUGAGCAUAUAUGACUCGCGAGUCAGUGUGGUCCAUUGUGGAUGCUUCUUGGUUAUGAGGCAUAGGACAUGGUCUAGUUUUUGUUCUUUUAUUUAGCUACACAAAAAAAAUAAAAUGAUUUCUAGAAACUAAAGUCCCUCAUCUUUAAUAUGAGCAUCAUAUUACCUUCCCUGCCCACCUAAUGGUAUCUGUUAAGUGGUACGCAUAAAGGAUUGGAUAUAAAUUGUUUUGAGGAUGAUGAAGUACGGAUUGCAUAUUGACCAUUUCAACUUUAAUAUGUUAGCAUAAGAAAUGUGUUCAUAUAUUUUACUUAUGGGUAUGCAGUUUUGUAAUUCGUACAUCAGGGAAAGUUCUAAAGCCCAUUUGACUUAUUCCAUACAUGACAAUUUUUUUUUUUUACCAUGUGAUAAUGGAAACGAAUUAAUGCUAAAUUAACCUCCAGUUUACUCCAGGCUUACAUUAAGGAUAUGUAGGAUUAGCUAUGAUGAUGUUUAUUUCUAGAAAAAAAUUAGUCAAGUUUUUCACCUGACAAGUGAGUCACGGUGUUUAUUACCUGUUUAUGAUUAGGCAAAAGAAAAAAAAAAAAAACAUUCCUGUGUGUCCCAUUGGAUUACAAAAGUCCUUUAAAGGCAGUUUAUUAGCCAUGGAUCUCUCUGCUAUGUCUCCCCUGCAGUUCGUUGAGAAUGUUUUCCAGAACAUAACUAGGCUUAUCGCAAUUUAUUUCUGCAUUGCUGGCUCCGAGGAUAUUGCCUAGUGUUCCAGAUCCCAACUGGAAGCUGUUCUUCAAUAAAAACUACUUUGGAGAAAAUGGCCACACUCCUCCCACUUCUUCCCAUUCCCUCUUACUCCUCUACUCAUCUAUCCUGAUAUUCUGGCUCCUAAAGCUCUUUGACCAGAUUGCCUUAUUGUUCCAGGUGUCUAGGAGCUCAUCAGUGAUAGCUCCCGUAAGUGUGGGCUAUGUGCUAGGAACUCUACAUACCAGAUUUUAUUUAAUUUCCCCAACAAUCUGAUGUGCUAGAUAUUAUCCCUACCGUACAUGAAGAGACUGAAGCUUAGAGAGGGUAAAAACAGAACAAGAAAUUGAACGCAAGUGUCUGAAUCCAAAACCUAUGACCUUAGCCACCAUUACUAUAUAGCCUACCUGUUUCCAUGAUGUUCUAGCAGGUUCUGUAUUUAUUUUUUUAUUUCUUUUAGUAAAAUCUGAAUGAUCACUAUUGAGAAAGAGAUGUUAAUUAGGUCAAGAUGCAAAGGGGUUUUGCUCCAAGGAUGUCAGGAAAUCUUUGUGUGCACAUAUUAUUGCAAUGAUAUUAAAGAUUCUUUCCUGAAGAAGGGGCUAUUAUCAUUCCAGAACACCAUUAUCAAUUUGCUACUCUUUAUGAGUCCCUAUAAAGUUCUAAAUUGUAAUUAUUAUGAUAUCACAUAAAAUUCAAGGCUACCAGGGAGAUAAAUGUUCAAGAGGAGGUGUGCUCAGCAUUGUGAUACACUAUUGUCACAAAAAUACAACACAUUUUUUUUAAAUAUAAAGAAUGUAGAAUGAGGUUGUUAAAUGGCUAAAAAUCUACAUACGGAAUUUAAACUAUUUUUCCUAAAUAGUGAAUGCAAGAGAUUAAGUCUAAUGAUAUAAGUUACCCCUGGUAAAGUUCUCAGUCAAUUUUAUGCUGUUUAUAUUCCAUUUAAUCUUCCUUCUUAAGCCCACGGGAAAAGUGUAUGUGAAAAAAGUGCACAGCCACUUUUUAAAAUUAAAUUAUGAAGGAUAGUGAAAAUUUUAAUAGAAAGAAUAGAAAAACACUUGAUUCAUUUAUUUAUUCUUUCAGUGAAUAUUUGUAAAUUUUGCUAGGUGCUAGUGGUAUUGGGGAUAGUGGUAUUGGAAGGAGCCCUGUAGCACAAAGGUUAAGUGCUCAGCUACUAACCAAAAGGUUGGUAGUUCAAAUCCACUCAGUGGCUUUUCAGGAGAAAGACCUGGAGAUCUACAGCCUAGAAAGCCCUAUGGGGCAGUUCUACUCUGUCAUAUGGGGUCCCUAUGAGUGAAAAUAGAUUCCACCUAUGGUACAUCAACACCAUAUUUCAAAUGCACCAAUUCUUCUUCUGUCUUCCUUAUUCAUUGUCCAGCUUUCACAUGCAUAUGAGGCCAUUGAAAAUACCAUGGCUUGGGUCAGGCUUACCUUAGUCCUCAGAGUGACAUCUUUGCUUUUGAACACUUUAAAUAGGUCUUUUGCUGCAGAUUUGCCCAAUGCAAUGCAUCUCUUGAUUUCUUGACUGCUGCUUCCGUGGGUAUUGACUGUGAAUCCAGGAAAAAUGAAAUCCUUGACAGCUGCAAUCUUUUCUCCAUUUUUCAUGAUGUUGCUUAUUGGUCCAGUUGUGAGGAUUUUUGUUUUCUUUAUAUUGAGGUGUAAUCCAUACUGAAGGCUGUGGUCUAAUGAUCUUCAUCAGUAAGUGCUUCAAACCCUCUUCUCUUUCAGCAAGCAAGGUUGUGUCAUCUGCAUAUCAAGGUUUGUUAAUGAGUCUUCCUCCAAUCCUGAUGCCCCAUUCUUCUUCAUGUAUAUAGCCCAGCUUCUCAGAUUACUUGCUCAGCAUACAGAUUGGAUAAGUGUGGUGAUGCACACCUUUCCUGAUUUUAAACCAUGCAGUAUCCUCUUGUUCUGUUCCAAAAACUGCCUCUUAGCCAAUGUACUGAUUCGGCAUGAGCAUAAUUAAGUGUUCUGGAAUUAAGUGAGAAAAAUGAGAAUUCCAGAACACUGUAAAGAUUACACCCAAGAAAACUUUAUGGAGCAGUUCUACUCUAUAACACAUGGGAUCACUACGAGUGGAACUGACUAAACAGGAAUGAGUUUGGUUUUUUUAGUAUUGGAAAGCUUAUGGUCUGAUGGGAGAUUCAAAGACAUAAAUAAUACAAGGUAGCAAAUGUUACAAUAAAAUUUAAGUAUACAACUGAUGAAUAGAUGAACAAAAUGUGGUACAUACAUACAAUGGAAUACUACUCAGCCAGCAGGAGAAAUGAAGUCUUGAUACAUGCUACAACAUGGACAGGACUUGAAAACAUUACGCUUAGCAAAAUAAGUCAAUCACAAAAUGACAAAUAUUAUAUGAUCUUAUUUUUAUAAAAAGACAAACCCAUUGCCAUCAAGUCAAUUCUGACUCAUAGCGACCCUAUAGGACAGAGUAGAACUGCACCAUAAGGUUUCCAAGGAGUGGCUGGUAGAUUCGAAAACUGAUGACCUUUUGGUUAGCAGCCUGAACUCUUCAUCACUGUGCCAGGGCUCCAUGAAAAGGCAAAUUUAUAGAGACCAAAAUGUAUUCGUGGUUACCAGGGGCAGGACAGAGAGGGAAAGAGGUGGUUAUUGUUUAGGGAAUACUGAGUUUCGGUUAAUGGUGUGGAAAAUUCACACUGGUGGUGAUUAUUGCAAAUGCUGUCAGUAAGUUAUACACCUGUAAAAAGUUGAAUUGGCAAAAAUUGUGUGACAGAUAUAUUUACACACACAAAAAGAAUAGCUUCUGAGGCUGCUUAUGUACAACUAAAAACCUCAUGGGAUUUGGUCCCUCGGUUUGGAGGUUUUGGUUCAUGGUUUCAUGGGACAUCCCAGUUAAUUGGUCUAAUGACAUGUUUAGCGUUUCUGUUCUAUCUCCUAGUUUACUGUGUAGUGCCUGGGGUAAAAAAAAAAAAAAGUUUGCAAGCAGCCAUCCAAGGCACAACAGUUGGUCUCUAUUCACCUGAAGCACAGAGGAAGAAGGAGAGUCAGAAACAGGAGAAGGAAAUGGAAUGUGUGGCUAAUUGCCUCCAUGAACAACUGCCUCCUUUGCCAUGAGACCAGAAGAACUGGAUGGUGCCUGGCUACCAUUACUGAACAUUUUGAUCAAGGAUUCUAUAGAGGAAUACUCAUAAAGGCAGAAAAAUGUAGAACGGAAUUUCAAAUUCUCGUGGACUCCAGACUUUCUGGAGCCACAGAGGCUGGAUAAAGCCCAGAAACUAUUGCUCUGAGAUUUUUAAACCUUAAAAUAAAAAAUUCCCUGAAAUCUUACAACCAAACAAUAGUUUAAUGUAAUUAGUAAAAAAUAUCUGUCUUGAGCAUUAUGCUCUUUUAACAACUACCUAGAUGGGAUUAGAUUGACAACGGCAACUCGAAAGAUUAUAUAGGAACUUUAGAAGACAAAGAGUUUAUGUUAAUGGGAGAAGAUCAGCUCAGAAAAGGAAUGUGAGAAUGGUUGCACAACUCGAAGAAUGUCAUCAGUGUCAUCGAACUGUAUGUGUACAAACUGUUGAAUUGGUAUAUGUUUUGCUGUGUAUAUUCUCAACAACAAAACACAUAAAAUUUUUUUUUUAAUUAUGUAAGUACGGUGGGUAUGGAUGACCACUACUCAAUCUUGGGGAUCAAAAAAACUUCCCAGGCCAUAUGAUAUUUCCCCUGAAACCUAAAAGCUGAGUAGGCGUUAAUUAAAUGAGCAAUGGGAGGAAGAGGGAAGGGAGGGGGAAGUAUUUCAAGCUAAGGGGCAGUGCGUGCAAAGACCUGGAUCCAUUUUAAGGAAAUGAAAGUAGUUCAGUGUUGUUGAAGCUGAUUGUGAGAGAGGGAAGUGGCAAGAAAUUAACACUGCAAAGAAAUAGAAGUUAAUUUUAUAGACUCUUAACCAAAACACCAAACCAAUUGCCAUCAAAUCAAUGACUUAUAGAGACCCUAUAGUACAGAGUAGAACUGCCCCACAGAGUUUUCAAGGAGUGGCUGGUGGAUUUGAACUGCUGACCUUUUGGUUAGCAGCCUAACACUUAACUACUGUGCCACCAGGGCUCUUCAAACCAAAAAAACCAAACCCAGUGCAGUUGAGUUGAUUCCAGCUCAUAGCAAUCCUAAAGGACAGAGUAGAACUGCCCCAUAGAGUUUCCAAGAAGUGCCUGGCGGAUUCUAACUGCGAACUCUUUGGUUAGCAGCUGUAACACUUAACCACUAUGCCACCAGGGUUUCCCCAGGUCUCUUAGCAAAGUUAAAUAAUUUGGACUUUUAUAUUCUAUUAAAGGCCAUUAAAAAAAACCUGUUGCCAUCGAGUUGAUUCUCAUAGCGAGCCUACAGGACAGAGUAGAACUGCCUCAUACAGUUUCCAAAGAGCACCUGGUGAAUUUGAACUACUGACCUUUUGAUUAGCAGCCAUAGCUCUUAACCACUAUGCUAUCAGGGUUUCCAUUAAAGUCCAUUAUAGUCAUUAAAUGGCCAUUAAAAAUUUUAAACAGGUGAAUGACAUGAUCAAAUUUGUGCUUUAGGAAGAUUAUUCUUAUCUCAGUGUCCAAGAAAGAUCAAAAGGAAGGCAAGAUUAGAGGUAAAGUUAUUUGAUGUUGAAAGGGAAAAGGUGUUGAAAUAAUGAGGCAAGAUUUUGUGGAGAUCUGAACUAAGGAUGUGGCAAGAGAUGGAGAGAUACAAAGAUAUUUACAAGGACUAGAGGGUACUUUGGAAACCCUGGUGGCGUAGUGGUUAAAUGCUACAGCUGCUAACCAAAGGGAUGGCAGUUCAAAUCCACCAGGCGCUCCCGGGAAACUCUGGGGACAGUUCUACCCUUCCCUAUAGGGUCACUAUGAGCUGGAAUCGACUCGACGACACUGGGUUUGGUUUGGUUUUUGGUUUAGAGGGUACUUUAGCUGGAUGGCAUAUAUUUCAAAGGUGAAAGAAAGAAGGAUGAACUAAAAACAUAAUUUGAUGAGCCAGCAGUCUUCAUUUGUACAGGCUGCAAGGAAAGCUGUAUCCUCAGAAGACAGCCAGAUUUCACUCAAGGUGGAGUUGUCGGAAUGCUCAUUGUGGCAAUGGAAUAUCCAGAGGCCACAAGUGAACUAGUUUGGAAGGUAGGAGCUUAUCCAACGAUCCAACGUGGGUUCUCCAGAAGGCAGAACCUGAGGGAAAGGACUUAUCCAUAUUACUUUAUUUAAUUGUGCAAUCCCAGGAUGCAAGAGUGAGGAGCAAAAGAAUGAAGUAGAGAAAGAAGGAGAGCCAUAUGAAGAUGCAUUAUGGAGCUGACUGCUGCUGGGUUUGACUGAUUGCUCACUCCCAAAGGACCAUCCUCUGAGAAGCUAUAUAAUGUCAUCACAGAGGGAAAAGGGGAGGGGUUUAGCCACUAACUCCAGUCUCCCAUUGGUCAAAGUUUUAUCUCACAGGGCAUGAACUUCCCCACACUUCAAGACUGCACAUACAUGAGAGCAAUAGAGGUCUUCUGGAGGUAUCACUAAUGUAGGCCCAGGGCAGGAGGCAAGAAGUUGUGAUACUGUUGAGUUAUGCCUGUAUGCAAGUGGUCAGAACCUAUGCAGAACAAGCUAUCUCAGUAGCAACUUGAGUGAAAAAGGUGAGAUUAAGAGAAUAUAGAGUAGUGCUUAAAAGGUGCAUAAUACAGUCCUCUUAUACCCUUCAGGUUUACUUUUGUUCACCAUUGUAUCCAAUUCCCAUACUACAGCACGGGGCCUCCAUUUUGUAAGAAUCAGCUCUCCUCAUCUUUUCCCCAAGAGUCAAUUUCAUGCUGUGAAAUUUUGAUCAAACAGCUGAGUAGCACUAGCCCCACCUUUCACAGAGUCCCUUUCAAGGAGAUGGCCAGCAGAAAUCUCUGAAAAUCUUAAUGGAUUACGUGCCAUGACCCAUCAGAUAGGUCAGUUGAUGAGCAUGUGAUGGGACCACUACACCUGAAUCCUUUAAAUCUUUGAUGAUAGUGAUAAUCUCUACAGUUCCUCCUGGGAAGAAGAUUGCUUCUCACAUACCACAUACGGUAGGAAUGUGUUUGUGUCUGUGGAGAAGGAAUGGCAGAGGUUUCCGGGGCUUCUACUUGGCCCUUCCUACCAUACACUAGAAGUCAGAGAAACAACAUGAAGAUUCUGCUAGCUGCUCCAGACAACUAUGCCUUUGGAGACUAUGGAAAUAUCUAUGAGAUAAACUUGGGCCCAAAUUCUAUUUAUCACCUAAACUCCAUUACCCCCUUCUCUAGCUUGAGGACCAUGAUGAAGUUUCAGUUCCUCUACCAUCAGACAGAUAAGACCCCACAUCUAAGAGUGCUCAAAAAAAAUCUGUGUGUUUCCCUUUCCCCAGUGCACAGAUAUCCUGACAAAUGGUCACAGGUCCCUUUGGGCAAGGAUUGGGAGAUUACUUAGUAGAUACAGAGAUAGAGAUGUAAAUGUAGAUAUAGUAGAUUGCAGGGUUAUUCCUCAAGAGGACCUAAGCUCCCUUUCAAUAAAUAGGCUAUGAUUCUAUGAAUUAAUUUAGAUCUUGAAUCAGGAAGAGGGAUCAAAAAUUUCCAUUCUGGUGGCUGACGUCAGCCUUCUGUGCACUAGUUCUCAAUUUUUAAAAAUAUAAUAAUACAAGUCAGCAACCCUAGUCAGUAGUCUAUCUCACUUCCAGGAAUACCAUGGUCUAUUAGCCAACACCGAAGAUCCCUGUUAAAGGGCAUUGUGAAUUGCAUUCUGACUUUGCUGCCCAUUGUAUAUAUUAUGUCUAUCUUGGCUAUGUUAGCUAAGUGCUACCACUGGGCUCCACCAUUCUGGAAUCCUGUCAUUCCCACUGAUACUGUGAGGCCCAGUUUUUUGGUAGCAUCUCCCUCCAUCAGUCUUAUUUACAAAGACAACUUCCAUCAAACAUCUAAAUGGCUGCCAGUACUUCUCAUUGUUUUAUUUAGUGGGGUAUCUCCUGGGAUCUCCCAGUGGACAUAGUCUGGUGGUAGGUUUCUAGGUCUUACAUAACAAAUUAGUCCUAACAUACCCACCUCUGUGAGACUUCCAGCUUUUCCCUCAAUACUAUACCAAUGAACUUCCAGCAUUUCUACCUCAUUUACUAAGGUUCAUCAUCCUGUAAAAGCUACAAGGAGUCAUCCCAACAGAUUUUUAGGAUCAUCUUGAGAUUUUGUUUCCAGAAAUUGAAACCCAAGUCAUGAAUGAGCUCUCUCUUGUUCAAUAAAUGCUCUCUACCCAGUCUUAUAUCUUCUUCCCCAACUUGAGGCCAACACCUUUUAGAUCUACUCCUACAAGAGUUCCUUAGGUCCUACAAAUCCUUGGAGUGUCGGCUAUUCCUCAAAAGCUGUAAUUUGCUAAUCAGGCUGUGAUAAGACCUACCUCUGGUUAUUAGCCUGGAGGUUAUGAGGGGUGGAUCUUGAAGAGAACUAGUGUCAUCUUGCAAAACACCUGCCUUCAAUGAUGGUGUUGCACCUUCUCUAGGAAAGGGGAGAUUGCGCUCCUCAGACAAGAUGGAGAGCUAUUUCUGACAUCCUAGAGAGUUUACAAUUUUCAGGCUCAUCCACCCGAAUAUCCCUAACACAAGUCACAGAGUCCCACUCUUUUCCUAUCAGGGCAUUAACUUUGACAUACAACACCUGUCGAGGCUAUGCACUGAGUCGUCUGUGCAGCUCUGGUACACUUAAAAACUAGGUCCUGGGCCUGAUUUUCAGCUUAGUUUACAGCAAAUGAGAGUCUUCUUCAAAGUUACUGUAGAACACACUGGCUUUCAUAGAGUGUCUUUACUUGUCAAUUGAUGAUCAUGAGCUUUUCAUUUUCUCAUAUCAAGUUUUUCAACGUAGUUAACAAAGUCAUCCCACUCAAAAAUUCAUAUCAUUAUUGUUACUCUUGUAACAACCAAGUGUAACAUAUCCCAAUGCCUCCUCUUCUACAUGCAUCUCACCCCAAUUACCUCAGGUGAAUGCCUUAGUAAUUGCGAUGCCACCACAGGCCAAGUAUUAUCACCAUCCCAUUUACCACCAGCAACAGGUUUGUUAUUUAUUGCCAUCAGAUUGCUGUGUAACCUAGCUGGAAAAUUCUAUCCUGAGUAUCUGACUUCUAGGACUACUCCUGAUACUGUUUUAACCUGGGUCCCCCGGAAAGCACAGCCUAAGGCAAAGGACUUGAAUAUAAUCUUGGCAAUCAGAAACAAAGAACAAGAAUAUUAAAGAACAUAAGAAGAGCUAAUAUGCAAGCAGGCUACCACUAGGUGUGACCGAUUGCUCAAUUCUGUGGGCACAACCUCGAGAAGGUGUAAAAACUGCAUCUCAGCACUGCACAUUGGUGGAGGGAGAGAAAGGGGGAGAAUUUCUCUACUGGCUCCAGUCUCCCAUUCCUACUGGUCAAAUGGCUCACUUUUGGGGUGGAUAUUAACUUCCUUGCAAGUCCGGGUUAUACAUACAUGUGUGCUGUGUGGAGUUCCGCAGAAGUAUCAGUAGAGAAGCCCCAGGUGAGCAGGCAAGAGGCAUGGGCAAGAGGUGAGGCAGUCAGGUUGGCCUACAUGAAAUCAAUCGGAAUCUAUGCAAAACUGGUUGCCACAGGGGUAGCAGAACAAGAGGAAGAAGCUGAGGAUCUGAAGCAGUGAAUAGCAGGUUGGUCAAGGGAGGGGAAUCAUAGGGAGCUGUGGAGAUGGGGAUACAAGAGAAGCCAAAUGACUAUAUAUAAGAUAAAAGCUUAGGCCUUAAGAAUAAAUUGGCCUAUAAAUGUAUUUUGUUUGGCAGACCCAACUUUUGUAAAUUUUUAAAUUAAAUGUCUCUAGGCAGGGCACGCAUUUUUUCCCUAUUUGCCAUAGUCCCUAGCAAUCCCUACUGUGUUCCUAGCACAGGCUACACAUUUCCCUUCCCUCCCUGACUCUUGAAAGCAUUUGGGCUUGUUACCGCAGAGGAUUGGGAUUAUCUCGGUAACAAGGCAUGGUGGAUUUAGCUAGCUGCAAGUUUUCCAUCCAAAUUACUCUCAGCAGCCUCUGGAUGAAAAUGACUCAUGCCUCCUGGAAAAAAAGUAAGCUAAGGCCUGGAUUCUCUGAACUCCUUCGGACCUCCCAGUACAGGUGAGCAAGGAAGCAACACGGUUAGUUGAUUUCCUAAAACACUGAGCACAUGUUGGGAACAGUAGUAGUCUCUUUUUAAGAAAAUGCUGAAUGCUUUUGGGAAAUGAAGAGAAGACAUUUGAGGAUUUUAAGCAGACUCAUUUAUGUAAAGUGGUUUCUUCCUGGUUCUGAUUAAACACAAAAAUGACUGCACCUGGUUCUCUUCCCCACCAUUUUAUUUUUAGCUCGGGAAUGGCCCUCAGUUCAGUGACCAUUUCCCCUCUCUUCCAAAAGCAAAAGAGUUAUGUUUGCUGAAUUGCUAAAGCAGAACUUGAGAUCUGCUGUCUAUCACAUCGAUAAUAAGUUAACACCAAUCUUUUAAGUAGACCCUGUGGUUUUGUAAGGGACAUUGAAUUUCUUAUACUCAACCCAAGGCGGACAAUAGAUACCAUCAACAUUUUAAUCAGAUUGUAUGUCACAGAGGUAUUUCUUGAGGCUCACUUGGUACCAGGCAUUGUAUUUGGCUCUGUUGAUGCAAAGAGAGUUAAGAUAUGGGAUGCUGCCCUUGGAGAACUGAGAAUCUAGUAGGAAAACACAUGAUAUAAUGGGAGGUCUGAGCAAAGUGUUGGGGAGGCAGUAAGAAGGGAGGGAAGCCAUCACUGAGGAAGUGACAUUUGUCUUGAGUCUUGAAGGAUGACUAGCACCUGAGACAGAAGUAAGGAUAUGGGAGUGAUGGCAGCUCAGAGCAGUGAGCAGAGGACAGAGACAAGGUGUGGGACCUCUUACCCCUCCUGUCUACCCGGGCUGCCUUGACCGCUAUUGCCUCUGUUCACCACCUCACUUGGCAUGCUGCCGUGGCCACCUUUAUCAAUGAUCUCUGCUAGAAUCUGCCAGCACCUCUGAGAUAAGCAAAUUGCAACAUCAGGCUGUGAAUAGCAAGUUAGUCACCAGUACCCUGGACUGAGCACACUGGGGCUGGUUGUAUAUUCAGCCGCAGCUAUAAAUUUUCAAAGGUAACAUCAUGCAAAUGACAGCUAGAAGCAAAGAGCCUAAAUGUUCUAGAUUUAUUUUCUCAUUCUCACAAGCUUGAAGUUCAAUGGCCAAGAGCAGUGAUAAUUUACUAUGUUGUUGCAUUCUUCUGAAUAUCUAUUAAGAAAUCUCUAUCUGCAGAGCUGGAUAAGUACAGUGGGUAAUCGGGUAUAUUUAUUAUCUGUGGAAUAUUUAAACAUUUCUUCUUUCUAGUUGUUUAGUACUUGAUGGUGUUUUUUACCUUCACUGACUUCCUGUUCUAAAUCAGUGAGACUAUGUAUCGAUGUACACAAUUAAAUUGUCUGGGAUGCUUCAAAAAACUGAUGUGUGGUCUCCACCAAUUAAGCCACAAUCUCGAAAAGUAGGACCCAGAUAUCUAUAUUUUCAAAGCCCCUCACAUGACUGUGAUGUGAAGCCAGGGUUGAUUACAGUGCCUCUAGUCCAACAGAGAGAAGAAGAAAGAAAGAAACUUACAUUCAUUAAAUAGACACCAUUAUUGACAGCUUUCCUCUUUAUUCUUACAUAGUUUCAAUAACAUGAUAAAAGGAAAUGUGAUUAGAAUGCCCUUUGAGUUUGGGUGAAAUACUUUGAUAAGUUACUUGGGAUAGGAGAUGAGCCCUUCUAAGAGCACGCUCAAGAAACUGAAAAUAGUUUCCCAUAUGACAAGGGGAAGAGUUAGCUGUCUCUUUUGAGGGGCUGGGGACGAGAAGGCAAAGAAAGACAGGAAAAAGGGAAAAGCAACUUGCUACGAGCCUGCAAGUCUUCCAUGAACUGAACUCUCAGUGCUUCAGAUAAGUAUUUCUUGUUGACACAGAGUGAGUGGUAAGAUUGCUGCCCAAGGUGACAUGGGCAAUAGGAAAGCAGGAGCUAGAGGGUCGGGAAAGUCUCCGCAAAGGCCUGGUCUCAACCAUGGUAAUGGCCAAUACUCAUAGAGAGUAAUUUAGACAUUCAGGAGUAGGGGAAAAGGUUGAAAGAUAUUUUCGCAUUGUGACUGAAGAGAAUUUGCUGAUGUUGGGAGGUCGCCUUGGUGACGGGCUUACAGCUAGAGCUGCAUUUGUGAGGUUCCUUAGAGAGCCAAAGUAGCUCUGGUGGUGCGGUGAUUAAGCGCUCAGCUGCCAACCAAAAAGUUGGCGGUUCGAAUCCAUUAGCCACUCUGUGGGAGAGAGAUGUGGCGCUUCCGUAAAGAUAUACAGCCUUGGAAACUCUGUGAGGCAGUUCUCCUCUAUCCUAUAGCGUCACUAUGAGUUAGAAUCAAUUCAACGGCAAAGGGUAUAGACAGUCAAUAUGAUUGUACAUGCGCAUCCAGAGUUUGGAGCACCUGGAGAGCAAUCAUAGACCAGCACUUUCCAAGGGUGUUCCAUGGAACUUGAGUUCUGAGGAUGUUAAAUGAAAGACAUUAACAAGGGUUCCACAUCAAAGAAAUUUGGAAAAUGGGUCAAAGGGGACUUCUAAAGCCUUUAAUAUGCCAAUGAGCACGGCGACUCUCUAAGAGGAAACUCUAGACUGCAGCUCUCUCUCUCUGCUCUCACAAAAUAUCUCAACAAACCAGAAUUCCCUGGGAGUCACUUUGGAAACACUAUUUCUGACCCAUGUAUGAAUUACUGGUGCCAUGUAGAUGUUUUCCCAAGAAAUGACCGGGAGACGCAUAGACAUAAGGACACAGUAAUACAUUUUAAGUUUGUCUACUUUUUCAAUUGAAAACGAAAGUAAAUUGUUUUCCCUUUCAGUAUACUUUCCUGGGGGGGUAGGGGCGGGAGGUAGAAACAAGACUUUAAACAAGCUGUUACCCCUGCAUGAGGCAUUGCAUAGUCUAUGGAUGUUUACCCUCAGUUAUCGUUAAUAUGAUGUAAUGGCUCUGCAGGAUUUAUUUCACCAAUUCCUCGAAACUCAAAUUCUCUGUUGAGGAUUGAAAUAACAUAUGUGUGGACAAUACGGAGCCACAAAGUUAAGAAUUCAUCUUGCUGAAUUUCUAAUAUUGUACAUUCGUGAUGUGACUCCGUAAGUCUGAGGAAAUCUGAGAAGCAAUUGACACUCAACAUCAGGAGGUUAGAAAUAGUAUGUGCUACUGGGUCAAGUUUGUCUUUUUUUACUGGGUCAAGUUACCUUUACUGAAAUGGAAGGUGUAUGAUGGAUGUAGUUAUGGGCUGGGAAGCAGGAGAUCUGAAUUCUCAUCCCAGUUAUCCCACAGUCUUGUCUUGCUCUCUGACUUUGGCCAAAUUCCUAGUGGUCCAUAUGUCAAAUGAAGGAUAGGUGAUCCCAAAGGUCUCUUCUAGAUAGAAACUUUAUGUGUCUGGCUAAUCACACAAUAGCUUCCAGCAUCAUAGCAACACACAAGUCACUAACCAUCUGUCAGUUUGUCAUAUGUGGUGGCUUACAUGUUGCUAUAAUGUUGGAAGUUAUGUCACUGAUACCAGCAGAGUCACCCAGGGUGAACAGGUUUCAGCAGAGCUUCCAGGCUAAGUCAGACUAGGAAGAAAGGCUUGGUGAUCUACUUCCAAAAAUUAGUCAGUGAAAAUCUUAUGGAUCACAACAGAAUAUUGUCAGACAUCGUGCUGGAAGAUGAGCCCCCUCUGUUGGAAGGCACUACACAAUAGCUGCAACGAUGGGCCCCAGCAUACCAGUGAUCAUGAAAACGGCACUGGGCAACAUUUUGUUCUUCUAUAUAUACAGCUGCCUUGAGUCGAACUGGAGUAUAACAAUACUCCAAAGCUACUACAGAAAAGCUUGGAGAACUCAGAACCUGGAAGAAAAAAAAAAAGACCGCUCUUAGGAAAGCUUCCUUCUCAAGAAAGAGGCAUCAGAAUUUUUAUAGCCUUGAUUCUCAGUGGGGUUGGGGAUAGGGAUUGCAGAACACUUAGUUGAGAAAUCUUUCUACCCGAUGAGCUUUUGGUGCCUCGGUCAUUCCUGGGGCUCCUUCCCUUAGUCCAUUGCGUCACACAAGAACCCUGGGGUUACAUGAUUCUGGGAGAAUGGUGAAGGGUCCACACGAUGUUGCACUGGAGCUCUGGUUCUUCACUUGAGUGUCCAGCUAUGAUGCUCCUGCCCUCAUGGCAGCCUGGGUUGUGAUCCUUCUGCCUGCUCAGUCCUCUCUAUCACACUUGCAGCUGUACCUGACUUGGAGGUUUACUACCCUCUGCCCUUUACUUUCUCAUGGAUCACUGGAAAUCUCACAAUACAGCAAAUAUUUUUCUGAGUUAUGAAGAACUCAGUCUUUUUAAGUGCAACAAUUUUCUCUCAUUUUCCAAGGGUGGGCAGCAUAUCUUUUCUUAGAAGUCUUAAGCCAAUAAUAUGAUUGGAGUACUAUAUGGUGCAAUUUUAAAAUCUUAAUAAAUCACCUACUUGCUUUCCCUUAAUAUUCGGAGGUACUAACUAGGACUUCCAGAAUAACGUUGAAUAAAACUGGGAUAGCAGACACCUUUGUCUGGUUUCACCAUUAAGUACAAUGUUUAUUCUUGUUUUCAGAAUGUUUCCUUUUUCAGACUAACAAAAAAAUAUUAUGAGUUUUCUAUUAUGAAUUUACAUUGGACUUUACCAAAUCCUUUCUCUGCACCUAUAGAGGUUAUCACAUGGCAUACUACGAGAUGAAAAUCUCUCCCUUUCUUUGUAUUCUCUGAACCACAUUGUAUAGGGUGAGAAUUACUUAUUCUUUGAAGAGUAGUUAGAACUUACUUGUAACAUCAUCUGGACUUACAAUUCUGGAUUUUCAUUUUUUAUUUAUUUCUUACAUCUGGGCAUUUUCUUACUUUCAUGUGAAUUCAACAAUCACACAUUUUUAAAUCACUGUAUAUUAUCCUGAAAUUCUACACAUUAUGCAAAUAUUUGUAUUAAUUUGCUCCACCAUAGCUCUAGAAUCAGAAGUCUUGGGUUAUUUCUUUCAGAAAGUUUCCCAGAAGUUAUAGUAUUGUGUUAAAUAAUCCCCACUUUGCAGUCCCUACUCAAUUUGUAGAUCUAGGCAUUGUGCAACGACAGCUGCUAACAUCACAAAAAGGGAGACAUCCAGACAUUAUGUGCCUCUCGAUGAACAAACACCGUAUCACCUACAGUCUUGCCAAAAAAACUAAAUCUCAGCCUGAUCAAACCAUAAAUUUACAGGACAUAUAGAGAAGAGAGGAACACGUUAAACUACACCAUACAAUGUAACCCGGAAAAUCUAGAUUAAACGAAUCUCUACAGGUCAAACAACCUAGGCUCUUCAAUGAAUAAUUUGCAAGGGAUAAGAAGGGGUGAGGGAAGACCCUUUAGAUUAAAAGACAUUUAAAAGGCAAAUUUAAAAACAGACAAAAUUAAAGUACAGAGUUUAUGGAUGCACAAUCGUGGGGUAAAAUUUUUUUUUUUUAAGGAAAUGAUUAUAAUAAAAAUCAAGAUGAUGGUUACUUUUAGGAAAGAGGGAUCUAGCAAGUGAAGGACCCUGAGGUAGCUGGCAAAGUUCUAUUUCUUGACAUAGUGGUGGUUACAAGAGUAUUUUCUUCAUAGUAAUUCCUUAACAUGUAAUUUUGCAUCAUGCAGUUUUUCAUAUAAAAAAGCUUGAAAAAAAUCAUUAUUGAGUACAUAUGGGAUAACAGUAUUACCGUUCAAAACAUUAAAACCAAAAAAACCAAACCCAGUGCUGUCGAGUCGAUUUUGACUCAUAGCAACUCUAUAGGACAGAGUAGAACUGCCCCAUAGAGUUUCCAAGGAGCGCCUGGUGGAUUCAAACUGCCGACCUUUAGGUUAGCAGCUGUAGCACUUAACCGCUACACCACCAGGGUUUCCAAAACAUUAAGUGCUACUAAAACUAUUUUAUAAAAUCACAAGCCAAAAUCCAAACUUCUCAUUUCUGUCUAGCUCCUGCUGUGUUCCAGGAGAGAAAAACUUGUUCAAAUUCUAUACAGCCAAAUGCCUAAGCUUCUUUAGUAUUCUAUCUUUCUACCCUUUAGCAUCAGCAAGAGAAAGAAGGCUACCCCAUCCUCAGAAUAAGAUCUAUUCAUCCUUCCUUGCCCAAGACAGAUUGACAGUGAGGACUUCCACUUCCUUUAGUGAAUUUCCAAAAACUCUCACUUCCAAUCACAGUGUAUAAUCUCAGUGGCUCAGAAAAUAUCAUAACGGCUGUUAGUGUAUUUACCAAAAUCUGGGUUAUUCAACAUGAAUAACACUAUGUGGUAGAUACCACCGUUUGAGUCUAAUUGCAUAUUUAGAAAAAAAAUAUUUCUUCAAUUCUUCAAAAGCACGUUCAAGUUAUACCUGACCUAAAUUUGUGUCGUAACCAAGACAUAAUCAUCUUAUUCUAAAAUAUAUUAAGAUGAAUGGCACGGUGUUUUCUCCUGUAAAAUAGGUUCUCUGUUGGGAUUUUUUUCUCAAAUCCCAUCUUGCAGUUUUCUCAAAACAAAGGAAAUUUCGGCUUCCAGAAAUGGAAAACUCCAAAAAACUUUCUAAAGUUAGUUCUCCCCCAUCUACUCCUGUUACUGAAAAUCAGAUCAAAUCAAAUUAAGUUUUAGCCUUAUCAGGCACUUGUUAAAACUAAAUCCAGUCAUAUUCUAUUAUAUUCUAUUUCACCUAACCCUUGGCUCUUUUAUAAAUCUUAUAACCUACUCUAAUUCUUCCAGUGUAAUAAAAGCCACUUCAAAGUACUAAGUCAUCCUAUAGGAAGAAUUGCAACCCUGGUGGUGCAGUGGUUAGGAGCUAUGGCUGCUAACAAAAAGGUCAACAGUUUGAAUCCACUACCCGCUCCUUGGAAACCCGAUGGGGCAGUUUUACCAUUUCCUAUAGAGUCACCGUGAGUCGAAAUUGUCUUGAUGGCACAUAACAGCAGUCCUUAAGGAACCAUAACUGGACUAAAGGAGAGAUCUGAGCAUCACCUUGAGAUCCCAGACUUUGAGACAGAUGUAAUAACUGGGCUAACUGUGAUAGAGAUUGCUAGUUACCUACCAGAAUUCAUUUUCCCUUCUUUCUGGGCAAACAGAUAGAUGACAUUCUUAGCCUUUCCUGCAGUGAAGUGACUAAGUUCUCUUCAGUGGACUCUGAAUGAAGUGAUAUAUGCCACUUCCAGGCUUGGUCCAUAAAAACCUCUCACACUUGUUCCUAUAUGCCCUUUUCCUCUACUGGGUGAUGACUAAUGAGACAAUGCUUUGGAUGGCUUCCAGAUGCCACAGUUUGAAGAUGGCAGAACGACCAUCAACCUAGGUCCUUAAAUGACUAUGUGGAGGAGAGUGGCCAUCAACCUAUUAUAAGGGAUUUUUGUUUUUAAAGCCACUGAAAUUUAGGUUUUAUUUUUACUGACAUUUAACAUUCUCUAAUAAACCAAACCAAACCCGUUGCUGUCAGGUUGAUUCCGACUCAUAGAGACCCUGUAGGACAGAGUAGAACUGCCCCAUAGAGUUUCCAAGGAACGCCUGGUGGAUUCAAACUGUUGAUCCCUUGGUUAGCAGCAGUAACACUUAACCACUACGCCACCAGGGUUUCCAACAUUCUCUAAUACAGAAUGUUAAAAGUAGCGAUGUCUAUUUUUGCGAUUUGCCAGGAUCCCCCUCCCCCCCGCAAGAGAGGCUAUAGUUGAUCUAUGGAAUCCUAGACUUUACUAUGUUCCCUACCACCACCCCUUCAAUGCAGAUUAGACUCAUGGUCCUUUCUUAUGACUUCCUUGGAUACACUCUUAAUUUCUUGCCUCGUAUUCUCUCUGUCUUGCUCACAUUGUUGCUGUAGGUUGCCAUCUAAUUGAUUCCAACUCAUAGCUACCCAUUUGACACGAGUUGCAGAGUAGAACUGCUCCAUAGGGUUUUCAAGGCUGUGAUAUUUUGGAAGCAGAUUGCCAGGCCUGUCUCCUGAGGUGCCACUGGUCAUGUUUGAACCACCAACUUUUUGGCUAGUAGUCGAGCACUUAAUGGCUUGUGCCACCCAGGGACUGAUUCUCUCUCAUAAUCUCCUGGAAAAACCCCAGUCUGGUUACAUCUAACUUUUUACCUACUCUGACACUCACAAAGCUAACUGUGGCUAGGUUCACUUUCAAUUCAUAAUCACUGACCUAAAAUUGGUCCAUAGUGCUGUCCCACAAUCUCACUAUAUUUCCAUAAUCCAUUCAUUUGUUCAGUCUCCUACAUAGCAAUUCCAUACCUUCUCUCCUUGCUACAAAUUUUCAGCACCUCUUCUCUCCUCUUCACUCUCAGCUGAUGAGUUAGAUUUCUAUUUCAAUAAGAAAAUCGAAACAAUCAAAAAUCAUUAGCUCCCACCAUCUCUUCUACUGCCUACCUGCAUCUGUUUUAUGUAUAAUUUGCCUUCCCUUCUGGGUGAAUCGUCUGUGCUCCUUUCUAAGGCCAAAUCCUCCAUAUGUGCAUUGGGCACAAUUUCCUCUCAUUGCUCAAGGAUAUUACUCCAGCAAUUCUGUCCUCCCUCUUCCAUCAUCAAAAUUUCCUUCUAUACUGGCACUUUACCAUCAACCCACAGAACAUGAUAAAAUAGAUUUUUGUUGCUCUGUGCCAUUGAUUUCAACUCAUAGAGGCCUUAUAGGACAGAGUAAAACAGUCUCAUAGGGAUUCCUAGGCUGUAAUCUUUAUGGGAGCAGAUCGCUAGGUCUUUUCUCUUGCAAAGCUGCUGGUAGGUUUGAACAGCUGACUUUUCAGUUAACAGCUGAGUGCUUAAUCAUUGCACCACCAGGGCUCCUAUGAUGAAAUAUAGCCCAUCUUAAAAAAAGACAGAAACUUGACUCCAUAUCCUUCUCCAACUACCGACCCAUUUCUUUGCUAGCUUUUAUAGAUUUUGUCAUUAGGGGCCUUCGAGUCUAUUCUGACUCACAGUGAUCCUAUGUACAGUGGAAAGAAACACUGCCCAGUCCUGGGCCAUCCUCACAAUUGUUGUUAUGCUUGAGCCCAUUGUUGCAGCCACUGUGUAGGUCCAUCUUGUUGAGGGUCUUCCUCUUUUUCGUUGACCCUCUAUUUUACCAGUGAGUUGGAACUGACUUGAUGGCAACAGGUUUUUGGUGACAUCCUUCUCCAAGGACUGGUCCCUUCUGAUAAUAUGUCCAAAGUAGGGGAGAUGGAGUCUCGUCAUCCUUGCUUCCAAGGAGCAUUCUGCUUGUACUUCUUCCAAGACAGAUUUAUUCACUUUUAAAGAUAUAUUCCUGAAAAAAUUUGUCUAUAUUCACUGUCUUCUUUUCUCUAAUCUCAUUGUUUCUUGAAGCCAUUCCAGGCAGGCUUUUGUCCUCACCAUUCCAUCGAUACAGGUUGUGUCCAGGUCACAAACGACCUUUAUGUUGCCAAACUCAGUGGUCAAUUAACAAUCUCCAUUUCUUUCAACCUGGCAGCAGCAUUUGAUAUGCUAUAUCACUCACUCCCUUUAGAAGUAUUUUAUUUUCUUGGCUUCCACGAACCCUUGUCUCUUGAUUCUUUGCCUUCCUUCCUGGUCAAGCCUUCUCAUCUCUCAAACCUCUAAAUACUGGAGUGCCACAAGCUCAGUCCCUGGUGCUUUUGUCAAGUUUCAUAACUUUAAAUACCAUAUCUAUGCAGAUGGUUCUCUUUAAAUCCAGGCUUGUAUAUCCAACUGCCUUCUUCACCUUUCCACCUGGGAGUCUGUCUCAUAGUCACUUCAAAAUUGAAUUUCAAAAAAAAUCGAACUCCUAAUUAUCCUCACCCUCAAACCUGCUCAAUAAAAGUAGCUUCAUUUUUUAGUUGCCGAAGCCAAAACCUUUGUGAUCCUUGACUAUUCUCUUUCCCUAAUACCAACAGUGCAUCAGCAAAUCCUCUUCAGUCUUUCUCCAACUAUAUCCAGAAUAGGACCACUUCUUACCACCUCCGUUACCGUAAUCUCUCACCAGGAUUGCUGCAGUAGUAUCCUGUGGUCAAAACUGCUCUUUCACUCCCAGUAUCCUUCCACAGUAAUAGGAUUUUUAACUCAGUACCUGGCCUCCCAAAAUGUAGAUGAUAAUUCCUAACAUUUCUUGUAGCUUGGUGUAGCUAAGGGGAUGUAAGCAGAAAUGGCAGUUAUUCUUCACAUAUAGUUUUCAUCAGUACUUGGUUCCCAUUCUCCUAGAUGGGCAAUGGAUGUUGGAUUUAUUUUAUGUAGAGUCCUACACAAAUUUAGCUUCAAGCAGCUCCAUCCUCCACCUCUCUCCACUCCCAGCUAGCUUGUUGUCCUUCUUAAUGAAACGUCUAAAGCUGCCACUGUCUAGAAAUCCUGUGUCUUAGGCAUCUACAGUUUACAGUUCCCCCAACUUCCUGUGGUCUUACACCCACCUGCUUCACUAAUUCAUAGUAUUUGUGCAGACCCUGGAGACAUUUGACUGUCAAAUAAUGACUUAAGGUAUAUGAGUUCUGCCAUAUUCACAAGGGAAAACUCAAAAGAUUGAGACUCUUUGAGACCCAAAGGAAUACCCUCAAAGGAAAUCGAGGCAUCAAGAGACAGUGAUUCUACAUAAUAAUUUUUACACCUACUAUUCUUGAGGCUGACUCUGUUGGCCAGAUUUUUUUCCAAAGCCAUAUGGAUCAUUACUGGAGAGUUGUUUGCUUUGGUUCAGAAUCCAAGUCCGCUUUCUUUUGAAAUGUCUAUAUAGGCCAACCAGACUCUGAACAUGUGCAGAGAUUAUUGCAAACCAAUUAAUCUUCCCUAGGAAAGAUCCAGGCUUGUGCCAAGGAACUCCUGUUUUAACCAAUUCGAACAUGAAUUACAUUAUUGAGCUGGCAGAUGCUAUAUUUAGAAGUUACUGAAGGCCUAAAUUCGAACAAUAGCUAAUUCAAGUGAAGUUCAAAUUCGUCAAAAUGAGUAAUGUGUAAGGAGGUAUAUAGAGAGCUCGGUAGUGCUCUGUUACAUAUUCAUGUUGAGCUUUCAUUAACAAGAAAUACUGUUGUUUCCAUGUUACGUUUAGCCUGUUUUUAUAAAUAGUUUCAACACAAAAUUCUUGGAAAGUGGUAACAAAAUGUGCUUUGGAUGGAACUCACGGACUUUUCUUUUUAGCAUUUUGUCCAGGAAUAAGAAUUAUUAUGAAAUCAUUUAAUCCAUUCAUUAAUUCACCACACUCCUAUAACAAAUAUUUAUCUAAUUAUGGCAAUGAUUCAUUCAGGCACCAAGUUUACAGCAGGAAAAAAAAGAGCAAAGUGGAGAUUACAAUCUGAUGGGGGGAGACAGAUAAUAAGCAAGUAAAUUUAAGGGUUAUGAAGAAAAGUACUAGCAAAGUAGGCAGGGAUGACGUCCUAUUCACAUUUGUAUUGCCAGAACCUUGCACUUAGAAGGAGCUCAAGGGGAUGAAUGGGUUAAUGACUAAAUAUGAUAAAUUUUACAGAACCUCUGACUCAGGCAGGACAUUUGCUUUACAGGCAUAGAGUGCGGUGGAGUUAAGGGAGGUCCAUGCUUCCAGUUCCACCAAACUGGAGCCCAAUUGUGUGCUGGCUGCAGGUAGUUUCCAAAAGGAGAAACCUUUGGAAACACAAGCCCUCGUUUUGGCUUCUGACCCCCUCACCACUAACAGCUUCAGAAAAACCACUGCUGAGGUUUUCACCUCAUCUGAAGUGUUGGAAUUCUUUGUUAUUGUUGUUAGUUGCCAUCGAAUUGGCUCCCACUCAUGGCAACCUUCUGUAUGACAGAAUAAAAUAUUGCCCGGUCCUGUGCUGUCUUCACAACGGUGGAUUAACCAGUAAACAAGGCAUGCACAGGCUUACAGUAAGCAAGGUACACAUGGCUUAAUUGUGUUUACUUCCUAGUCUGUAAAGUACAGUUCCACAUGUGAAACUGUGUACUACAGAUUACUAUGUCAACCCACCUCUUUGAGGGUUUCCCUCCUUUUCACUGUUGUUCUUCUUUACCAACCAUGAUGUCCUUUUCUAAUGAUUGAUCUUUCCUGACAACGUGCCCAAAGUAAGUGAGCAGAAGUCCUUGCUUCUAAGGAGCAUUCUAAGGAGUUUGUAUUUCCUUUAAGACUGGUUUGCUGGUUCUUUUGGCAGUCCAUAGAAUAUUCAGUAUUCUUUGCCAACACCACAGGUUAAAUGAACCGAUUCGUCUUCUGUUUUUCUUCUUCACUGUCCAGCUUUCACGUGCAUCUUAUGAAGCUGGGGAACUCCACAAAUUAGUCUUCUACUUGGAACAAAGAAUACCUUGCUGGGAAGUGCAAAUGUUUGACCCAGCCUGGCUGCAAGGGAUCAUGGGAAAUAUGGUUCCUAGCUUUCCAGAGAGUCAAACAACAGAGAAGUCAGAAUGGAGGCUGAAUGAACCAUGAACAGUAUUGGCCACCACUGGCAUCUCUGCUCUGACCCCUUACUGAAAAAUAUGAAGAAGGUAUUAGAACUCUUUUAGAGUUGAAGCUCAGAGGUUAAAUAACUUAUCCCAGGCCACUGGUGGGGCAGAGAUUUGAAGCUGGAUCUUGCUGACUCCACAGUCAGUGCUCUUUCUGUUUUAUGCUACCCUUCAAGACUCACCUCUGUCCUGACCUCUCUUGGAAAGGCUGACCCACUCCUUCCAGACGCAAAGGUAGUUUAGACACCCUUUGCUGGGCUUCCUUAAUGCCCUGGGUAGAUAUCUCUGUGGUAGCCUCUACUAUGCUAUGUUCCUAUUUGUAGUUAGACACAUGCUUCUCCUAUUUGACCAUGAGACCUUUGAGCAGAGUCUUAUAUAUCCUGGUAUUCCCAAAUAUUUAAUAUUUUAUGAAGAUUAAAUGAGAAUUCAAAGCUCUUUUAGCACAGUGUCCACUGCAUAGAAACUGUUAGUGUUAUUGUUGUUCUCCAUCAAAAAAAAUAAAUAAAUAAAUGAAAUCCGUUGCUGUCAAGUCAAUUCCAACUCACAGCGACCCUGUAGGACAGUGUAGAACUGCCCCAUAGGGUUUCCAAUACUGCAAUCUUUACAGAAGCAGGCUGCCACAUCUUUCUUCUGUGGAGCGGUUGGUGGGUUUGAGCUGCCAACCUUUUGGUUAGUAGCCAGUCACUUUAACCACUGUGUGACCAGGACUCCAGUAUCCCUUUAACCCAGUGCCAUCGAGUUGAUUCCAACUCAUAGCGACCCUAUAGGACAGAGUAGAACUGCCCCAUAGAGUUUCCAAGGAGCACCUGGCGGAUUCGAACUGCUGACCCUUGGGUUAGCAGCCGUAGCCUACCAAAUGGUAAACAACUGAGCUGCUAACUAAAAGGUUGGAGAUUUGAGUCCAUCCAGAAGCAUCUUGAAAGAAAGGCCAGGUGAUGUGUUUCCAAAAAUUCAGCCACUGAAAACCCUAUGGAGGACUAUCCUAUUCUGACAUACAUGGGGUAACCAUGAGUUGGGGGUCAACUCAAUGGCAACUAACAACAUCAACAGAUGCUUAAUAACAAUUUAAUCAGUGAAUGAAUGAAUGUUGUUGUUGUUGAGUCAGUUCCAACUCAUAGUAACCGUAUGUACAACAGAAAGAAACACUGCCCAGUCCUAUGCCAUCUUCACAAUUGUUGCUGUUGUGCCCAUUGUUGCAACCACUGUGUCAAUACAUCUCAUUGAGAGUCAAACCUCUUUUUUGCUGACCCUAUACUUUACCAAGCAUGAUGUCCUUCUCCAGGGCAGGUCCCUCUUUAUAACAUGUCCAAAGUGUGUAAGACAAAGGCACCCUCCUCACUUCUAAGGAGCACUCUGGCAGUACUUCUUCCAAGGCAAAUUUGUUUGUUCUUCUUGUAGUCUGUAGUAUAUUCCAUAUUUUUUGCCAGCACCAUAAUUCAAAGCCAUGAAUUCUUCUUCAGUCUCUCUUAUUCAUUGUUCAGCUUUCCCAUGCAUAUAAGAUGAUGGAAAAUAUCCUGGCUUGGGUCAGUGCACCUUGGCCCUCAAGGUGACAUCUUUGCUUUUGAAUACUCUAAAGGGGUCUUGUGCAGCAGAUUUGCCCAAUGCAAUAUGUCAUUUGAUUUCUUGACUCCUGCAUCCAUGGGUGUUGAUCAUGGAUACAAGUAAAAUGAAAUCCUUGACAACAUCAAUCUUUUCUACAUUAUCAUGAUGUUGCUUACUGGUCCAGUUGUAAUGAUUUUUAUUGACAGACUAAUGGUGGCAUGAAUGAGUGAGCCCCAUGGAAUUAAUGACUGAUAAAUACUAUCUGUUGUCCAUCUCAGAAAUGUUUACGUUUAUAAUAAAAGAUAUUUUCUUACUUAAAAAGGCAAAAGUUACAAUGAUGGAAUAUCAGGUCCUAGGACGAAGCCCAUACUUUAGGUAGGGGUCUUCCCAGAGUCACUUCAAUCAUACACAGUCAGGGUGACCCAAACUUAAGGCUCCCUCUGCUUCCAGCCCUAUAUUAAUUUUUUAAUUGUACCGCCAUGAGAGAAGCCAUUUGCCUGGUAGUGCUUACUAAGAAAUCCAUGUCCACAAGGCUUCCAACUUCGUUGGCUCGUGGAAUGUCCAUAGCUGACCUCAACUAUCACCCACCAAACCCGACCUACACACUUUUCUUAUUAUUAUAAAAUGUUUCACACAUACACAAAGUAGAGAGCAGAGUGUGAUGAGGCCUCUUGUUCACAGCACCCAAAUUUGACAACUAUCUGUAUUUUGCCAAUUUUGGUAAACCAAGAUUCUUUACUCAGGGUUGACCCAGCCUCUUCUGUGGCUUUGCUUUGCUCAAUUCCUGUUCUCUGUUUUGUGAACCUCAUCUCCUGACUUAACAGACCUCUUGACCCGAUGAUUAAUUACAUGGCUAUGCAGACUCCUCCCACCUCAACUUUCUCUCAAAUACCUGAAAUAGGCUCUAUUUUGACCAUGGUUCCAUCUCCCCAACCCCACCUUUCUCAUCUGUUGAUAAAAUGGAACAGUUAGACCAGAUGAUCCCUUUCUGCAACAAAAUUCUAUGAUUCUUGAAUUCUCUGUUUUUGGCUUUUGGCUCAGGAACAGUACUGGCUAUAAGAAUUCUUUUUAAUUGGAUUCCUGGGUAUGAGGACUGGUUCUUUGUGAUUAAUACUCCUUCCCUACGUUCCCCAUGCUGGGGGCCUCUACCAAUAACACCAAGCAGCCCCCUCUUGGGAACCUUGGUGGUGAGUGGUUAACAGCUGUGGCUGCUAACUAAAAGGACGGCAGUUCAACUUCACCAGGCGCUUCUUGGGAACUUUAAGGGGCCGUUCUACUCUGCCCUAUAGGGUUGCUAUGAGUCAGAAUUGACUUGACCGCAAUUUUUUUUUUUUUUUAGUCUUCUCUUGGUCCCUUUUCUGCUUCAAAAACACCCUGUGCCCAUCCUUACUGCAGUAUUUACCACCUGCAUUUUCAUUCACAUAUGUUGCCCACCAGGGGCACCUAGGCAAUUGUUCCUACGUCUCUGCCAGCUGCUUAAAUCUUGGGAAGCUGAAUUCUCUUUUAGAGUUCUGACAAUAGGUAAUAAGGACACAUAAUGUGAUGCUUCUCCCUAACCUAGGCUCAAAAAGUAGGGUAAGCAUAGAGAAAUUUUCUCAGCACAGACCAAAAACCCUGCCUUACAACAAAUGAUAUACAGCAGUGAGCACUUGACCUGGACAUGCACUGGUCCAACCGCAUGCUACACCACCCGGAGGGUCAGCUUUUUGAAUGCACAGAUGAGCUACCAGAUUAGAGAUGAUACCUUGUGAGGAUGGGUGCCAUCUUCCAGGACAUAGUGUGCUCCCUAAAAUGAUGACCAUUAUGUGGCACCUUGUUGCCAGUAGUUAGAAUACAUGGGUCUGGGGACCAACAGAGAGAAGUAGGAGUGACUUCACUUUCCACUACAUUCAGUGGCCCACUGGGGAAUUAGUGCUUCCAGUCCCCACACUCUAGGCUUAUCGGUCUACAGCUUGGCUCCCAGGGAGGGAACAUUUCCACCAGAGGACAUCAAAAGAAUUCCAUUAAAUGGUGCUGCCAACCAGUGACUUCAAGCUCCUUGGACCAAGAGAUCACCAGGCAAAGAAAGGAGCCACUAUACUGGCAAGGAUAAUUGAACCUGGUUCUUAGGAGCAGGUAGGGUUGAUGUUACACAGUAGGGAGACCUAGGUGAUCCACUAGGAUGACUCUUGAUAUGCCUCUACCCAAUUUUGAUGGUAAAUGGACAAGUACUGCAGCUAUGGCCUGAGAAGGGUGUGGUGACCAUGGGCUCAGGCCCUUUAGGGUGAUCACUGUAUUCAUUUCCUGGGGUUGCUGUAAAAAGGUACCACAAAUUGGGUGCCUUAUAAGAAUAGAAAUUUAUUGUCUCACUGUUCUGGAGACUGGGAGUCCAAGAUCAGGGUGUCUGCCAUGUUGAUUCCUUCUGAGGCUUUGAAGGAGAAUCUAUUUCAUGCCUCUCUCCUAGCUUCUAAUAGCCCCAGGUGUUCCUUAGCUUACAGCUGCAUUAUCACAUGGCAUCCUUCCUCUGUCUCUAUGUCUCUGUGUCUCUCCUCCUCUUUUAUAAGGACGCCAGCUAUAUAGAAUUAGGAUCCACCCAACUUGAGUAUGACCUCAUGAUAACCUAACUGAUAACAUCAUCAAAGACCCUAUUUCCAAACAGAGUCACAUUCACAGUUACAGAGGUUAGAACUUGCAACAAAACUUUUUUGGAGACACAAUUCAAUCCAUAACACUCAUAUAGACCAGCAGAGGUGCUGGAAGAGGUGAAGGGAAUCUAGAAUGGAUAAUAAAACACAGACAUAUUCAUAGUGGAUCCGGGUUCUUAACCAACCAAAUAGCCUAUAGCAGACCAUGUCAGUGACUGCCAUAAGCCACUGGAUCCUUUGCCAUUUUCCUGCACACUGGCACUCAUACCUGCAUCUCUUUGUCAGAGGGCUGCCCUCAGGCUGCCUGAGCCUGCAGGGCCAGUACCCAGAAAGAACCAGAAGUACGUGGGUUCAGUUCUUCUUAUCCCAUGCCUGAUGUGGGCAGAGGUAUUAACACUCCAGCUCUUCAAUAGCUGAUCAGGACAGCUGGGAAGCUUGGCCUACAUCUCUCCAGAUCAUUCUGGGGACUGAGACAGGUGCCCCCCAUAAAGUGUAGUUGAUAUCAUACUCUUGCCUAUGCUCCUUUUCUUCCCUUUCUCAGCACUUCCUAAUAAACCAUUGUCUCAAGAAUCCUUCUUGAAGCUGAUCUAAGCACUUGAGCAACUGGCUGGGCCUCCAGCCCCAGGUCAUUAAGAAGUAGUAGCCAAACUGGACAUUUUUCAUUUUUCAUGAUGCAUUGCUCCACAUCUUUCCUUGCUUCACUUCUCUUGUUCCUCACUUUUCCUAUUCUGGGUUUGAAUCUCCCAAAUAACGUGUCAGCCUGUUAAUCCUUGCCUCAGACUGUUUUCUUCAGAAUCUUGGCCAAGUCACACUGGCUUUCCAGAGCAAAGCGGAGAAAGGAGUUUCCCUGGUGAUGGAAGGGGCCAUAUAUCUGAUGGUACCAGUAGUUGGUAUACGCAUCAUAGAUAGGAACGUAUCAGUUUGUCAAGAUAAUUGACUUCCCCGAACAGUUGCUAAAGACAGGAUGUUCCUAACCUCAGGGCAAUGCAAGGGCCUCAUAACCAAGACAGAAAUGGAUUGCUUGUUAACCUCACAAGGGAAAAUAACAAGAAGAAAUCACAAACAGCACAGACCCCUUCCUGCCUGGCACCUGAGGCCCUGAGAGGUUAAGUAAUUUGCCCAAGUCUCAAGGAACUGUGAGUAGCAGAGCCAGGGUUCAAACCUGUGCAGCCUGGCAUGGGGUCGUGGACCUCACCCCAGUGCAACCAGCCUCUGGGAAUCUCGGUAACUAGCAGCAUGUGACUGCACUUUGCAAAGGACUCUCACACAUAUGCUUGCGUAUUAUCUCCUAUGAAGGAGCUGGGGGAGGGUGUUAAUAUCCCAUAAUAUAAUUAAGAGAACUGAGGCUCCAAGAGUUUAAGUAAGCUGCCCCAAUGGAAAAGUCAGGACUCAAACUGAGAUACUCGAAUUCUAGCCCAGACCACACUGCCUGCCUAGAUCAUUGAAUUUGACCUACCUCUUUAAAGCCAGUGGGAUAGGCUCACCUACCUGGAACAUUCUGGGGGUCCAGGUCAGCACUGAUUGAAGGCCCCAAACUCCCAUAAAUGGAUCAAACCUCAGAGUUAGUCCUGGAGCAGGGAUUAUUGUCAAAAAUCAACUACCACUAGCAGAGACUCAAAUCUGCUCUGGUCUUAUAAGGCUGUGGGCCUAUCAGCAGUCAGGCCUUCUGAGGAAUACGGAGUCCAGGAUAACAACACAGUUGUGAUCGCAGGCUCUGGAUGUGAAUUCCAGCUGUACAAUGGGCCAGUUUCUACAGCUGUAAACUGGAACGGAAGAGCCUGGGUGCUCUGACCCACCAAAUGGUGAACAGUUCCUUCCGUGAACAGGUUUCCUGGCUCCAGCUCCUGUGUCUCUCUGUCUGAGAGCACUCCCUGGCCGCCAGAACCUACUCAGUCAGCAGGCAGGACUAGCCAGAACUGCUGGUGUGUUAACACUCCCCUCGCAUCAAAUGACUUUCAACUAAUGAAGGUUGAGAGUUGGUGGAUAAACACACCAGCAUCCUCACUUCUCAGUGGGACAACUUUGAGGCAUUCUACAGCCUCUCAGAGAUGCUUCAACAAGAUUGAGCCCCAGUUGUCCACAACAGUAAAAAAACCAGUUGCCAUCGAGUUGAUUCUGACUCAUGGCGAUGCCACGUGUGUCAGAGUAUAACUGUGCUCCAUAGGGCUUUCAGUGACUGAUUUCUCAGAAGUAGAUCUCCAGGUCUUUCUUUUGAAGUGCCUCUGGGUGGACUGGAGCCUCCAGUCUUUCAGAGGGCAGUACUGACCUCACUUUUUCCUGGCUUCUUCUCUCCCCUGAAUCACUUCCAACCGUUGCCUCAGGGUGUGUUUUGGAGGAAUCCAGGUUAAAACAACUCCAUGUAUUUGUUAGGAGGAACAAACAAGACAAUGUACUUAGCAUUACCCCUGGCUUAGAGUUAAGUGUUCAGUAAAUUCCAGCUAUCAUCAUCAUCAUCUUCGUCAUCAUUACUAUCUUGCAGAGUGAGCUGAGGCUGGCCCUGUUCAAGGUCCUAAAAGAGGCGGCACAGACACAUCAGGUUACCCCUUCUAGCUCUUCCCUCACGUACUCAGGAGAAUACUGAGUAACCCGUUGCCAUCAAGUCAAUUCCAGCUCGUGGUAACCCCACAUAUUACAGAGUAGAACUGUGCUCCCUAAGGUUUUCUUGGCUGUAAUAUUUACCAGUUGACACAGUGGCUGCAACAACGGGCUCAAGCAUAACAACAAUUGUGAGGAUGGCACAGGACGGAGCACUGUUCUGUUCUGCUGUAUAUGGGGUCACUAUGAGUUGGAAAUGAUUCCAGAUGGCACCUAACAACAACAACAAUAUUUACCGAAACAGUUCAAAGUUUUCUUCCAUGGUGCUGCUGGGUAAGUUCAAAUCACCAACUGUUAGGUUAGCAAUAGAUCACAAAUCACUUGUGCCACCCAGGGACCUAAAAUGUCUAUUAAACAAGAAGUCAAUUUGCUAUGGAAUCCCUGAGUGGUGCAAACGGUUAACACACUCAGCUGCUAACGGACAGGUGGGUUCAAGUCCACCCAGUGGCACCUUGGAAGAAAGGCUUGGUGAUCUACUUUCAAUCAGCCACUGAAAACCCUGUGGAACACAGUUCUACUCUGACACACAUGAGGUCACCAUGAGUCAGAAUCAACUCAAUGGCAACUGGAUACUAGUUUAAAUUUGCUAUUAAUAUUGUUGUUACUAUCAUUAAUAUUAAUAAUUUGAUAAUAAUAUCAAUGGCUAUCAUUUACUGAGUGCCUAUUCUGCAGCUAGGUAGUGUGCUAGUUGCUUUGUAUCAUUGUACCACAAUAUUGUCUCAAUGGCUUCCCCAGAUUACAAUAAUCAUAAGCAUAAUUAUAACCCUAUUAAUAAACAACAUAUGUUGAACUUUCACUAUAAACUAGGAAUCUUCUAAGUGCUCUACAUCCAUUUAUAUGUGGUAAUAUAGUAGUUUCCUAUUUUACAGGUAAGAAAGUAGGCUCAGAGAGGGGCAGUGACUUGCCCUUAGACACACAUUUAUGUACAAAGUGGAAUCAGGGUCAAAACCCAGACCUGGCUGACUUCAGAGAUCUUGCUAUUUCUACUUGACCACAAUUUUCUCAUCCUCACUGGAACUAUAUAUCUGGAGCUGUUCCUUGAUGGACUGUAUAUCUGUGAGAUUUAAACUUUUCUGCAUGAGAAAACAUUGUCCCCCACAGGAGCUGGAAAAGAAGGCUACCACUUAGCCCUAACAAGCAAAGCUUGCAAUAAAUCUAACCCUGAGAAAAUAAUUUUAAAGAACAAGAAGACAUGAGUCAUAACCCAAAAUAGCCAGAAUAUGGCACGAGAGCUUACUCAAGCCAAAACAUCCUCACUGUUAAUCCAACAGAUGCAAGGACUUCAUUUCAGCCGCAGCCAAUGUAGUAUGUAAGUAGUGAGUGAGAAGCUCACUACAUAUAUACUCCAUUGAAUACAAUGACUCAUGACGACCCCACGUGUGUCAGAGUUGAACUGUGUCCACGGGGUUUUCAAUGGCUGAUUUUUCAGAAGUAGAUCACCAGGCAUUUCCUUCCGAGGCAUCUCUGGGCAGAUUCAAACCUUCAUGCUUUUUAUUCUCAGCCAAACAUACUAACUGUUUACACCGCCCAAGAACACUGCAAUUUGGGAAGUCUGAAGAAAAAUGAACAUCCCCAGACACAGUAAAUUGACUUUUCUAAUGAGUAAGGGAUGUAUGUGUCUAUUUAAUUAAUUCUAAUAGUAUUCUACCUUAAGAAAAAUUAUGCUUAAUAAGUUCUGCUAAUGUUGUAAAAAUUCUUAGACAAUAAAAGUUAGUCUUUUCUUAUCAUCUACGUUAUUAUAUUACAAAAUAAUUCACUGUUUUCCAAAUUAAGAUUACACAUUAUCCCAAAACAUUCUUAAUAUCUGCAAUUACAGUAAGAAAACUGAGCCAUUUACCAAUUCUUUGGGCUAUAAGAAACGGGAUUUGAUAGAGUUUUCCUACCUCAUUAUUACAUUUAAUCAUAAUAGCUCAUAUUUUCCAAGGGCAUGUUAUUUUCCAGGAACUGAACUAAGUACUUUACAUUAGUUCAUUUAAUUUUUUUAAUAACCUGAAGAGAAAAGUGCUAUUACUGUCUUCAUUUUACAGAAAAGGGAACGACUGGUAAGAGAGGCUAAAAUCUUGCACAAUAUCACUCAGCUAGUUUGUAGGGGAAUCAAGACCCAAGUCCGUGAUUAAUCAAUGUAUCAUACCUUGAAAAGAUUAUUUGCCAAGUGUCCUUUCCAUGAGACCCAAAAUUUUAACUUCCAAAGUGGCUGGAAUCUGGGGGGACAAAAUGACUCAAUGUAUUACUGAGUUCUGAAGAUGAAGAUAAUUUAAUUUCUCUUCUGAGAGUGACGUCUUAAUAAACUGCUCCAGGAAUCUGCUUCUCAAGGGUCACACAAAGACCUCACUCUUCAUCACUGUGGUUUACAGAUAAGCUGCCUUCCAGUCAGACUGUGAAAGCCCUCACAAGGAAGUGAAACAAGAAGUUAAAAAUGCAUUCUCUUUCCAAAGACCCAAAGUCAGGAUUCACUGUCACAGUAUAUUACAAAUAACCAGCCUCACCCAGUGACUCUGAGCUGACUUGGUGAUCCGAGGUGACUUUGAAUUUGGUAGGAGCCGAGAAAUUGACUCUAACAAACACCAUGAUCUCCCUAGUUCAUCUGGGACAAGCAAGUAUCCUUGAAAAGUGAAACAAAACCUUAAAAUGAAGGUUCAAGGUACAGCCUUCAGUAUGGAUUACACCUCAACAUAGAAAAAAAAUUAAAAAAAAAAAUGAUCUCCCUAGUUCAUCUGGGACAAGCAAGUAUCCUUGAAAAGUGAAACAAAACCUUAAAAUGAAGGUUCAAGGUACAGCCUUCAGUAUGGAUUACACCUCAACAUAGAGAAAA
This is an RNA transcript of Loxodonta africana (African savanna elephant), 36386 nucleotides long. It is a transcript of the gene named G protein-coupled receptor 65, with no coding region annotated. Lineage: Eukaryota; Metazoa; Chordata; Mammalia; Proboscidea; Elephantidae. The transcript is spliced from 3 exons. The record is from RefSeq and is a predicted model, not a curated record.